GAUGAACGCUAGCUACAGGCUUAACACAUGCAAGUCGAGGGGCAGCAUGAUUGAAGCUUGCUUCAAUUGAUGGCGACCGGCGCACGGGUGAGUAACACGUAUCCAACCUUCCGUACACUCAGGGAUAGCCUUUCGAAAGAAAGAUUAAUACCUGAUGGUAUCUUAAGCACACAUGUAAUUAAGAUUAAAGAUUUAUCGGUGUACGAUGGGGAUGCGUUCCAUUAGGUAGUAGGCGGGGUAACGGCCCACCUAGCCUACGAUGGAUAGGGGUUCUGAGAGGAAGGUCCCCCACAUUGGAACUGAGACACGGUCCAAACUCCUACGGGAGCAGCAGUGAGGAAUAUUGGUCAAUGGGCGAGAGCCUGAACCAGCCAAGUAGCGUGAGGGAUGAAGGCUCUAUGGGGUCGUAAAACCUCUUUUAUAUGGGAAUAAAGUUUUCCAACGUGUGGAAUUUUGUAUGUACCAUAUGAAUAAGGAUCGGCUAACUCCGUGCCAGCAGCCGACGG
This 506-nucleotide ribosomal RNA is filed under the name uncultured bacterium. RNAcentral's name for it is "bacterial SSU rRNA". It matches the Rfam family "Bacterial small subunit ribosomal RNA", at positions 28 to 520 of the family's 1533-position model. The record is from RNAcentral.